Molecule: unclassified non-coding RNA, 334 nt
Filed under: soil metagenome
Description: partial contains 5.8S ribosomal RNA, internal transcribed spacer 2, and large subunit ribosomal RNA
Rfam family: 5.8S ribosomal RNA (bases 1-120)
Source: RNAcentral
GAUGAAGAACGUAGCGAAAUGCGAUAAGUAGUGUGAAUUGCAGAAUUCAGUGAAUCAUCGAAUCUUUGAACGCACAUUGCGCCUCCUGGUAUUCCGGGAGGCAUGCCUGUUCGAGCGUCAUUUCAACCAUCAAGCCCCCGGGCUUGCGUUGGGGCCCUGCGGCUGCCGCAGACCCCUAAAACCAGUGGCGGGCUCGCUGUCACACCGAGCGCAGUAGCAAUAUCUCGCUCUGGGCGUGGCGCGGGUGCUUGCCGUAAAACACACCACUUAACAAGGUUGACCUCGGAUCAGGUAGGAAUACCCGCUGAACUUAAGCAUAUCAAUAAGCGGAGGA